RNAcentral lists this ribosomal RNA (474 nucleotides) under uncultured organism. RNAcentral's name for it is "partial 16S ribosomal RNA". It matches the Rfam family "Bacterial small subunit ribosomal RNA", at positions 332 to 797 of the family's 1533-position model. The record is from RNAcentral.
UACACUCCUGCGGGAGGCAGCAGUGGGGAAUUUUGGACAAUGGGCGAAAGCCUGAUCCAGCAAUGCCGCGUGAGUGAAGAAGGCCUUCGGGUUGUAAAGCUCUUUUGUCAGGGAAGAAACGGUGAAAGCUAAUAUCUUUUGCUAAUGACGGUACCUGAAGAAUAAGCACCGGCUAACUACGUGCCAGCAGCCGCGGUAAUACGUAGGGUGCAAGCGUUAAUCGGAAUUACUGGGCGUAAAGCGUGCGCAGGCGGUUUUGUAAGUCUGAUGUGAAAUCCCCGGGCUCAACCUGGGAAUUGCAUUGGAGACUGCAAGGCUAGAAUCUGGCAGAGGGGGGUAGAAUUCCACGUGUAGCAGUGAAAUGCGUAGAUAUGUGGAGGAACACCGAUGGCGAAGGCAGCCCCCUGGGUCAAGAUUGACGCUCAUGCACGAAAGCGUGGGGAGCAAACAGGAUUAGAUACCCGAGUAGUCCCA